CCUACGGGUGGCAGCAGUGAGGAAUAUUGGACAAUGGACGAGAGUCUGAACCAGCCAUGUAGCGUGAAGGAUGACUGCCCUAUGGGUUGUAAACUUCUUUUAUAUGGGAAUAAAAUGUUCCACGUGUGGGAUUUUGUAUGUACCAUAUGAAUAAGGAUCGGCUAACUCCGUGCCAGCAGCUGCGGUAAUACGGAGGAUCCGAGCGUUACCCGGAUUUAUUGGGUUUAAAGGGAGCGUAGGUGGAUUGUUAAGUCAGUUGUGAAAGUUAGGGGCUCAACCGUAAAAUUGCAGUUGAAACUGGCAGUCUUGAGUACAGUAGAGGUGGGCGGAAUUCGUGGUGUAGCGGUGAAAUGCUUAGAUAUCAGGAAGAACUCCGAUGGCGAAGGCAGUUCACUGGACUGCAACUGACACUGAGGCUCGAAAGUGUGGGUAUCAAACAGGAUUAGAUACCCGAGUAGUC
RNAcentral lists this ribosomal RNA (460 nucleotides) under uncultured bacterium. RNAcentral's name for it is "partial 16S ribosomal RNA". It matches the Rfam family "Bacterial small subunit ribosomal RNA", at positions 338 to 795 of the family's 1533-position model. The record is from RNAcentral.